GAUGAACGCUAGCGGCAGGCCUAACACAUGCAAGUCGAGGGGCAUCAUGGCGUAGCAAUACGCUGAUGGCGACCGGCGCACGGGUGCGUAACGCGUAUGGAACCUACCCACCGCAGGGGGAUAACCCGCCGAAAGGCGGACUAAUACCCCAUGGUUCCCCGACCCUGCCUGGGGUUGGGGGUAAAGCCUACGGGCGGCGGUGGAUGGCCCUGCGUGCCAUUAGCUGGCUGGUGGGGUAACGGCCCACCAGGGCGACGAUGGCUAGGGGGUCUGAGAGGACGAUCCCCCACACUGGUACUGAGACACGGACCAGACUCUACGGGAGGCAGCAGUGAGGAAUAUUGGUCAAUGGGCGGAAGCCUGAACCAGCCAUGCCGCGUGCAGGAUGACGGCCCUACGGGUUGUAAACUGCUUUUCCCGGGGCGAAUAACCCCUCGCGAGGGGAGUGCCGGUACCGGGGAUAACGGAUCGGCUAACGUCCGUGCCAGCAGCCGCGGUAAACUCGUCUCGUA
Molecule: ribosomal RNA, 512 nt
Filed under: uncultured bacterium
Lineage: Bacteria
Description: bacterial SSU rRNA
Rfam family: Bacterial small subunit ribosomal RNA
Source: RNAcentral